ACCAGAAUGGGACGGUAUAACUCCGCGCCAGCAGCCCCGGUAAUACGUAUGUAUCGCGCGAUCUUCUCGGAUUUUUUGGAAGUAAGGCGAGCGCAGACGGAUGAUUAUGUCUGUUAUGAACCCCCGGUUCUCUUCUCCGGAGUGGCAUUGGAAAAAGGUUAAAUUGAGUGUUGAAGAAAAAAGUAGACCCCCAUGUGUAGCGGUAGAAUGCGUAGAUAUGCAGAAGAACACCGGUGGUGACGGCGGUUUAGUGGACAACAACUGACGUCGAGGCUAGAAAGUGUGCGUAGCAAACAGUAUAAGAUACCCGUGGUACUCCACCCUGUAAACGAUGAAUACUAGGUGUUAGGAGGUUUCCGCCUCUUAGUGCAGAAGUUAACGCAUUAAGUAUUCCGCCUGGGGAGUACGACCGCAAGGUUGAAACUCAAAGGAAUUGACGGGGACCCGCACAAGCGGUGGAGCAUGUGGUUUAAUUAGAAACAACGAGAAGAACUUUACCAGGUCUUGACAUCCUUUGAAGCUUUUAGAGAUAGAAGUGUUCUUUUCGGAGACAAAGUGACAGGUGGUGCAUGGUCGUCGUCAGCUCGUGUCGUGAGAUGUUGGGUUAAGUCCCGCAACGAGCGCAACCCUUAUUGUUAGUUGCCAGCAUUCAGUUGGGCACUCUAGCGAGACUGCCGGUGACAAACCGGAGGAAGGCGGGGACGACGUCAGAUCAUCAUGCCCCUUAUGACCUGGGCUACACACGUGCUACAAUGGCGUAUACAACGAGUUGCCAACCUGCGAAGGUGAGCUAAUCUCUUAAAGUACGUCUCAGUUCGGACUGCAGUCUGCAACUCGACUGCACGAAGUCGGAAUCGCUAGUAAUCGCGGAUCAGCACGCC
This 881-nucleotide ribosomal RNA is filed under the name Leuconostoc sp. Its description in RNAcentral is "bacterial SSU rRNA". It matches the Rfam family "Bacterial small subunit ribosomal RNA", at positions 482 to 1358 of the family's 1533-position model. The record is from RNAcentral. Lineage: Bacteria; Bacillati; Bacillota; Bacilli; Lactobacillales; Lactobacillaceae.